AAGGUGAGAAAGGAGGACAAGUUGGCUUUACCAGAUGUGACGUCACAUUAUUGUUUGUUUUUGUUUUUAUGAAAUAACUACUCUCGAACUCAGACGGCAUGGCUCGCGUCUCGUUCGCGCGCGUACGUAUGGAUGUUGUCUGCGGUUUGUUUUUGGCGAAUGCUUAGGAGCUUCAAGUUGCAGACACUGCCGUGGGCCAGGGCUUGAUGACAUUUGUUGCCCAGCUGCUGGUGCUACCGCGACGUACUUGGAGCAACGCUUCUGCUUAUUUCCUUUGCCUGCACCUUAUAUUUGUUGUGUUUAUUGAGACCUGGCCUGUCUCUGCCUCGUUGAAGACAAAUGGACACAAGUACUGGUUGCUGUUGGUUUGCUCAGUCUGAGCGUGUGGGAUAACCGAAAGUGGACAUGGAGGAGCCCGAAUGGCGAGACACUGAAAUGAAAUAGACCUCAUACCCUGCGCUAACCCUGGCAUCAUACAAGAUGUGGACGUGCUCGACAAGGUGCGCUGCAGUGACCAUAGGAUGAUAAGGGAGGCAGCUUUUGCAUCUGCAACAGAACAUCGGUGGAUGUGGUUACCUGAGCAAGGUAACUUUCUUGGUGCUUCAUCAUGCAAUUUAUACAGUCAACUUCCAUUAAUUCUACCCUCACGAGACUGACGGGUCGAAUAAAAACGCAAAAACUUGCUGAAGCACCGUUGAUUCAUUUGGCAAUAUGUGCUUGAGUAACACGCCUCUGAAACGAACGUGCAUCAUAUUUCUAUUUGUCCACAGUAUAAAACUAAAGUAGAAAUGACUUAACUCCAAACCAAAGUAGAAACCUACGCGUACCUGAUUUUUUAGAAUGGCAGCUGAUUUUCUAAAGCCAGCUUCGCCGUAUUACAGCCAUGAUAUGCGGUAAUGCGUAUGAAUGCUACAACCACGGUUUUAGUUUCGCAAUCGAUUGCACAGCUAGGCAAUUUUUGUCUCAAUGUCCUUCGAAAACAAAAAAGUGUUCGUUAGAAUCAGAUAAGUACCACAAUCGGACAUUGUCAGCUACCGUUACUGCUUGAAAAUCUUUCUCGGGUGGGUCAAAAAUAGGCAUUUCAGAGAGGAGAUGGCAUUUGUUUAACGCAUUCACUGUCCCCUAAGCUCUACUGAGACAUACGCUGCCACUAAAAGGGGUCAUUAUUGGGGUCUGGUCAAGUUCGCAUUAUCCGGCGAAUGCCAGUUUUAGGAUCGAAAUAAUGAAUGUUUAAUCCCAUAGAAAUGCAUGGGUGUCGCCCAGGAUUGAAUUAACUGAAAAAAUUAAAUUAACCGGAGUCAGAUUAUUGGAAGUUUACUAUACACCCUUUUCUGUUCUCCAAGAAGUUGCCAUUUUAAUAUGUAGUUUUCUUCUAUCAGUGUGGCAAUGGUGCUAAAUUUAGCAUUUGUUUGAAUCAUCCAUUGUUCCAAGGACAAGCUACAAAAUAGGGGCACACUUUGAGACUUGAAACAUUUCCACAUAUAAAGGCAGGGCAUGUUAACAUCUGUACAAUUACCAUAAGUUGGCUGUAUUGUCUGCAUAGCAUGUGGCUGCUUUUUUGGAAUGUGGUCUUUCUGUAAAAUAAAGUUGCAUUUCUUUCAAAUAAAUUGCUGAACUAUUG
Molecule: long non-coding RNA, 1621 nt
Organism: Dermacentor andersoni
Lineage: Eukaryota; Metazoa; Arthropoda; Arachnida; Ixodida; Ixodidae
Source: RefSeq, a predicted model, not a curated record